RNAcentral lists this small nucleolar RNA (166 nucleotides) under Echinops telfairi (small Madagascar hedgehog). Its description in RNAcentral is "Small nucleolar RNA SNORA73 family (ENSETEG00000025389.1)". Lineage: Eukaryota; Metazoa; Chordata; Mammalia; Afrosoricida; Tenrecidae. The record is from RNAcentral.
CUGGGAGGUCAUGCUCCCUGGGCUCUGUCCAGGUGGCAGGGAGAAGCACAUGAUGUACUGUACACUCUUUUUCUACAACAUCAGAGACUGCACCUGCAUAUCCUACAGCAGCUUCUCAGAACCCUGUGGACAAAGGCUGAGGAGACAAACCAUGCAGGAACCAGCC